Molecule: ribosomal RNA, 589 nt
Filed under: Xanthomonas sp. EECC-150
Lineage: Bacteria; Pseudomonadati; Pseudomonadota; Gammaproteobacteria; Lysobacterales; Lysobacteraceae
Description: bacterial SSU rRNA
Rfam family: Bacterial small subunit ribosomal RNA
Source: RNAcentral
AGCAUACCAUGGGUGGCGAGUGGCGGACGGGUGAGGAAUACAUCGGAAUCUACCUUUUCGUGGGGGAUAACGUAGGGAAACUUACGCUAAUACCGCAUACGACCUUAGGGUGAAAGCGGAGGACCUUCGGGCUUCGCGCGGAUAGAUGAGCCGAUGUCGGAUUAGCUAGUUGGCGGGGUAAAGGCCCACCAAGGCGACGAUCCGUAGCUGGUCUGAGAGGAUGAUCAGCCACACUGGAACUGAGACACGGUCCAGACUCCUACGGGAGGCAGCAGUGGGGAAUAUUGGACAAUGGGCGCAAGCCUGAUCCAGCCAUGCCGCGUGGGUGAAGAAGGCCUUCGGGUUGUAAAGCCCUUUUGUUGGGAAAGAAAAGCAGUCGGUUAAUACCCGAUUGUUCUGACGGUACCCAAAGAAUAAGCACCGGCUAACUUCGUGCCAGCAGCCGCGGUAAUACGAAGGGUGCAAGCGUUACUCGGAAUUACUGGGCGUAAAGCGUGCGUAGGUGGUUGUUUAAGUCCGUUGUGAAAGCCCUGGGCUCAACCUGGGAAUUGCAGUGGAUACUGGGCAACUAGAGUGUGGUAGAGGAUGG